RNAcentral lists this ribosomal RNA (497 nucleotides) under uncultured bacterium. RNAcentral's name for it is "partial 16S ribosomal RNA". It matches the Rfam family "Bacterial small subunit ribosomal RNA", at positions 28 to 507 of the family's 1533-position model. The record is from RNAcentral.
GAUGAACGCUGGCGGCGUGCCUAAUACAUGCAAGUCGAGCGAACGGACGAGAAGCUUGCUUCUCUGAUGUUAGCGGCGGACGGGUGAGUAACACGUGGAUAACCUACCUAUAAGACUGGGAUAACUUCGGGAAACCGGAGCUAAUACCGGAUAAUAUUUUGAACCGCAUGGUUCAAAAGUGAAAGACGGUCUUGCUGUCACUUAUAGAUGGAUCCGCGCUGCAUUAGCUAGUUGGUAAGGUAACGGCUUACCAAGGCAACGAUGCAUAGCCGACCGGAGAGGGGGAUCGGCCACACUGGAACUGAGACACGGUCCAUACUCCUACGGGAGGCAGCAGUAGGGAAUCGGCCGCAAUGGGCGAAAGCCUGACGGAGCAACGCCGCGUGAGUGAUGAAGGUCUUCGGAUCGUAAAACUCUGUUAUUAGGGAAGAACAUAUGUGUAAGUAACUGUGCACAUCUUGACGGUACCUAAUCAGAAAGCCACGGCUAACUACGUG